AGUAAUGUAUGGGGAUCUGCCUGAUGGCGGGGGGUAACUACUGGAAACGGUAGCUAAUACCGCAUAAUGUCUGCGGACCAAAGCGGGGGACCUCCGGGCCUCGCGCCAUCAGAUGAACCCAUAUGGGAUUAGCUAGUAGGUAAGGUAACGGCUUACCUAGGCGACGAUCCCUAGCUGGUCUGAGAGGAUGAUCAGCCACACUGGGACUGAGACACGGCCCAG
This 222-nucleotide ribosomal RNA is filed under the name uncultured bacterium. RNAcentral describes it as "partial 16S ribosomal RNA". It matches the Rfam family "Bacterial small subunit ribosomal RNA", at positions 109 to 334 of the family's 1533-position model. The record is from RNAcentral.